Molecule: long non-coding RNA, 658 nt
Organism: Lactuca sativa (garden lettuce)
Lineage: Eukaryota; Viridiplantae; Streptophyta; Magnoliopsida; Asterales; Asteraceae
Source: RefSeq, a predicted model, not a curated record
CCAGUGUGGAUAAAAGGCAGCCUCAGUCUACUACACCAACAUAGAAGUUUCUCAAACACAUCAUGUGCCAACUGUCAAAAAUUAAUCGAAGCAGAUGUAAGCUGGAUUAUCAUAUGCCCUUUUUGCUAUACAGAAUCAGAAGUCCAACUUAUCUCCAGAGCCACAGUUCAAAUUGAUGAUGCAACUGGAUCACUCUCUGCAACAAUAUCAACACCAGACCUUGAAAAGUUCAUUCCCUUUACACCUGAGGAAUUAAAAUAUGCAGAAGACAAUGAGAAAAGUGUUCACGAUACGAUAGCAACAUCAGUCGACUCGGUGUUACUUUUCGCAUUUGUGUGCUCGCAAAAGACAUGCCACCAGCAAGAACCAAGCACAACAUACAACAUUGUCAAAGCAUACAACAUCACACCAGCCAAGAAACCAAAAUAGAAUAGGGACGAAGGGCCCCUUUUAAAAACAUUUUGCUUUUUGAAAACCAUUUAUAAAAAAUGGCCCAUAAUAGCCAAUGAAGCAACAUCUCACAGAUUAAAAUCUGACAAACUUUACUUUUUGUAUAUUGCUUCAAAUGCACAAAUCUAUUAAGAACUACAUAUCAAGAAGUUUUCAGUGCUUGUAGGAAGAUAAUUGCAAUAUGGCAAUAUUACUUUCUUGUGUCUCA